This 368-nucleotide non-coding RNA is filed under the name Robinsoniella sp. RHS. RNAcentral's name for it is "Bacterial small subunit ribosomal RNA". It matches the Rfam family "Bacterial small subunit ribosomal RNA", at positions 1 to 351 of the family's 1533-position model. The record is from Rfam by way of RNAcentral. Lineage: Bacteria; Bacillati; Bacillota; Clostridia; Lachnospirales; Lachnospiraceae.
UUAUUUGAGAGUUUGAUCCUGGCUCAGGAUGAACGCUGGCGGCGUGCUUAACACAUGCAAGUCGAGCGAAGCAUUAAAACCGAUUUCUUCGGAAAGAAGUUUUAAUGACUGAGCGGCGGACGGGUGAGUAACGCGUGGGUGACCUGCCUCAUACAGGGGGAUAACAGACAGAAAUGUCUGCUAAUACCGCAUAAGCGCACAGUGCUGCAUGGCACAGUGUGAAAAACUCCGGUGGUAUGAGAUGGACCCGCGUCUGAUUAGCUAGUUGGUAAGGUAACGGCUUACCAAGGCGACGAUCAGUAGCCGGCCUGAGAGGGUGAACGGCCACAUUGGGACUGAGACACGGCCCAAACUCCUACGGGAGGCAG